RNAcentral lists this ribosomal RNA (427 nucleotides) under Thermotoga sp. enrichment culture. RNAcentral describes it as "bacterial SSU rRNA". It matches the Rfam family "Bacterial small subunit ribosomal RNA", at positions 355 to 774 of the family's 1533-position model. The record is from RNAcentral. Lineage: Bacteria; Thermotogati; Thermotogota; Thermotogae; Thermotogales; Thermotogaceae.
UGGGGAAUCUUGGACAAUGGGCGAAAGCCUGAUCCAGCGACGCCGCGUGGGGGAUGAAGCCCUUCGGGGUGUAAACCCCCGUUGCGAGGGAGGAAUAAGGCCUGGAGGAAAUGCCAGGCCGAUGACUGUACCUCGCGAGGAAGCCCCGGCUAACUACGUGCCAGCAGCCGCGGUAAUACGUAGGGGGCGAGCGUUACCCGGAUUCACUGGGCGUAAAGCGGGUGUAGGCGGCUCGGUAAGUCGGGUGUGAAAUCCCACAGCUCAACUGUGGAAUUGCGCCCGAAACUGCUGAGCUUGGGGCCGGUAGAGGGAGACGGAACUGCCGGUGUAAGGGUGAAAUCCGUAGAUAUCGGCAGGAACGCCGGUGGGGAAGCCGGUCUCCUGGGCCGCGCCCGACGCUGAGACCCGAAAGCUAGGGGAGCAAACC